Long non-coding RNA from Carassius auratus (goldfish), 376 nucleotides. RefSeq lists it as uncharacterized. The record is from RefSeq and is a predicted model, not a curated record. The transcript has 3 exons. Lineage: Eukaryota; Metazoa; Chordata; Actinopteri; Cypriniformes; Cyprinidae.
GACCAGCUACUGGCUUUGUCACUCUGUUCUUUAUGUGGAUAAUUAAGUCACUUUAAAGCAAUCUUUUGUUUCUUUUCUUAGGUGUGUAAUGAGGGAGAUCGCUUCAACACGCACCCAAUCAGAAACAGCUAAUCUGACCAUAUUGUUUGACAAGUGUGUUCCUUACUGCUCUCUGCCACAGGAGAUGUAAUCUGAAACAAUUAUGCCAAUUCCUCAGAACAGUAUACUGCGGAUGAAAUCCUCUGCCUCUGCCUGAAUCCAUCCAGGAAACCACUGAUCAAGAUCUGAUGAUGUUCAGACUGAACGUCCCGUGUACUGUGGACACUUUGGCUCGAGCUCGAGGCCGUGGGGAAGCAGAUUCGCGACCUGGAACGGA